GACGAACGCUGGCGGCGUGCUUAACACAUGCAAGUCGAACGAAGAGCGAUGGAAGCUUGCUUCUAUCAAUCUUAGUGGCGAACGGGUGAGUAACGCGUAAUCAACCUGCCCUUCAGAGGGGGACAACAGUUGGAAACGACUGCUAAUACCGCAUACGAUCUAAUCUCGGCAUCGAGGAUAGAUGAAAGGUGGCCUCUACAUGUAAGCUAUCACUGAAGGAGGGGAUUGCGUCUGAUUAGCUAGUUGGAGGGGUAACGGCCCACCAAGGCGAUGAUCAGUAGCCGGUCUGAGAGGAUGAACGGCCACAUUGGGACUGAGACACGGCCCAGACGCCUACGGGAGGCAGCAGUGGGGAAUCUUCCGCAAUGGACGAAAGUCUGACGGAGCAACGCCGCGUGAGUGAUGACGGCCUUCGGGUUGUAAAGCUCUGUUAAUCGGGACGAAAGGCCUUCUUGCGAAUAGUGAGAAGGAUUGACGGUACCGGAAGAGAAAGCCACGGCUAACUACGUG
Molecule: ribosomal RNA, 510 nt
Filed under: uncultured bacterium
Lineage: Bacteria
Description: partial 16S ribosomal RNA
Rfam family: Bacterial small subunit ribosomal RNA
Source: RNAcentral